This is a small nuclear RNA of Lethenteron reissneri (Far Eastern brook lamprey), 105 nucleotides long. The record is from RefSeq and is a predicted model, not a curated record. Lineage: Eukaryota; Metazoa; Chordata; Hyperoartia; Petromyzontiformes; Petromyzontidae.
UUUCGCUCCGGCAGGACAGACACUCACUCUGGGACGAUGCAGAGAAGACGAGUAUGGCACCUGCGCAAGGAUGGCACGCACGUUCUUGAAGAGCCCCCCCCCUCU